AAUGAACGCUGGCGGCGUGCCUAACACAUGCAAGUCGAACGCGAAAGCCCUGCUUGCAGGGCGAGUAGAGUGGCGAACGGGUGAGUAACGCGUGGGUAACCUACCCCUCAGUUGGGGAUAAUCCCGCGAAAGUGGGUCUAAUACCGGAUGACAUCGCCUCUCCUCGGAGGGGUGAUCAAAGAUGGCCUCUGGUACAAGCUAUCGCUGGGGGAGGGGCUCGCGUCCUAUUAGCUUGUUGGUGGGGUAACGGCCCACCAAGGCGACGAUGGGUAGCCGGCCUGAGAGGGUGUCCGGCCACACUGGAACUGAGACACGGUCCAGACUCCUACGGGAGGCAGCAGUGGGGAAUUUUUCGCAAUGGGCGAAAGCCUGACGAAGCGACGCCGCGUGGACGAUGAAGGCCUUCGGGUCGUAAAGUCCUGUCGGGUGGGAAGAAAAGUAUGAGCUCGAAUAAAGCUCAUGCUUGACGGUACCACCCAAGGAAGCCCCGGCCAACUCCGUGCCAGCAGCCGCGGUAAUACGGGGGGGGCAAGCGUUAUUCGGAAUCACUGGGCGUAAAGGGCGUCUAGGCGGUCGGGUAAGUCGUGGGUGAAAGCCCCCGGCUCAACCGGGGAAGUGCCUGCGAAACUAUCCGACUUGAGGUCGGGAGAGGAAAGUGGAAUUCCCAGUGUAGCGGUGAAAUGCGCAGAUAUUGGGAGGAACACCAGUGGCGAAGGCGGCUUUCUGGACCGACCCUGACGCUGAAGCGCGAAAGCUAGGGGAGCGAACGGGAUUAGAUACCCCGGUAGUCCUAGCCGUAAACGAUGGGCACUUGGUGUAGCAGGAUUUAAAACCUGCUGUGCCGAAGCUAACGCAUUAAGUGCCCCGCCUGGGGAGUACGGCCGCAAGGCUGAAACUCAAAGGAAUUGACGGGGGCCCGCACAAGCGGUGGAGCAUGUGGUUUAAUUCGAUGCAACGCGAAGAACCUUACCGGGGCUUGAAGUGUGGUUGACAGGAUGAGAAAU
RNAcentral lists this ribosomal RNA (1004 nucleotides) under uncultured bacterium. RNAcentral describes it as "bacterial SSU rRNA". It matches the Rfam family "Bacterial small subunit ribosomal RNA", at positions 28 to 1007 of the family's 1533-position model. The record is from RNAcentral.